RNAcentral lists this ribosomal RNA (430 nucleotides) under uncultured bacterium. RNAcentral describes it as "bacterial SSU rRNA". It matches the Rfam family "Bacterial small subunit ribosomal RNA", at positions 346 to 793 of the family's 1533-position model. The record is from RNAcentral.
AGGCAGCAGUGGGGAAUAUUGGACAAUGGUCGAAAGCGUGAUCCAGCCAUGCUGCGUGAGUGAUGAAGGCCCUAGGGUUGUAGAGCUCUUUUGUGCGGGAAGAUAAUGACGGUACCGCAAGAAUAAGCCCCGGCUAACUUCGUGCCAGCAGCCGCGGUAAUACGAAGGGGGCAAGCGUUGUUCGGAAUCACUGGGCGUAAAGGGUGCGUAGGCGGGUUUUUAAGUCAGGGGUGAAAUCCUGGAGCUCAACUCCAGAACUGCCUUUGAUACUGAGAAUCUUGAGUACGGGAGAGGUGAGUGGAACUGCGAGUGUAGAGGUGAAAUUCGUAGAUAUUCGCAAGAACACCAGUGGCGAAGGCGGCUCACUGGCCCGUCACUGACGCUGAGGCACGAAAGCGUGGGGAGCAAACAGGAUUAGAUACCCUGGUAG